Molecule: transfer RNA, 66 nt
Filed under: Marmota monax (woodchuck)
Lineage: Eukaryota; Metazoa; Chordata; Mammalia; Rodentia; Sciuridae
Description: tRNA.Ala
Source: RNAcentral
GGAUGUGGCUCAGUGGUACAGCACUUGCCUAGCAUGUGUGAGGCCUUGGGUUCAAUCCCAGCACCA